RNAcentral lists this ribosomal RNA (643 nucleotides) under uncultured Sphingomonas sp. RNAcentral's name for it is "bacterial SSU rRNA". It matches the Rfam family "Bacterial small subunit ribosomal RNA", at positions 22 to 710 of the family's 1533-position model. Lineage: Bacteria; Pseudomonadati; Pseudomonadota; Alphaproteobacteria; Sphingomonadales; Sphingomonadaceae. The record is from RNAcentral.
AACCAGAAGACAACGUGGCGGCAUGCCUCAUACAUUGCAAGUCGAACGAGAUCUUCGGCAUCUAGUGGCGCACGGGUGCGUAACGCGUGGGAAUCUGCCCUUGGGUUCGGAAUAACUUCUGGAAACGGAAGCUAAUACCGGAUGAUGACGUAAGUCCAAAGAUUUAUCGCCCAAGGAUGAGCCCGCGUAUGAUUAGGUAGUUGGUGAGGUAAAGGCUCACCAAGCCGACGAUCCUUAGCUGGUCUGAGAGGAUGAUCAGGCACACUGGGACUGAGACACGGACCAGACUCCUACGGGAGGCAGCAGUAGGGAAUAUUGGACAAUGGGCGAAAGCCUGAUCCAGCAAUGCCGCGUGAGUGAUGAAGGCCUUAGGGUUGUAAAGCUCUUUUAACCGGGAUGAUAAUGACAGUACCGGGAGAAUAAGCUCCGGCUAACUCCGUGCCAGAAGACGCGGUAAUACGGAGGGAGCUAGCGUUGUUCGGAAUUACUGGGCGUAUAGCGCACGUAUGCGGCUAUUCAAGUCAGAGGUGAAAGACCGGGGCUCAAACCCGGAACUGGCUUUGAAACUAGAUAGAUUGAAUCCAGGAGAGGUGAGUGGGAUUCCGAGUGUAGAGGUGAAAUCAGAGAUAUUCGGAAGAAAACA